GACGAACGCUGGCGGCGUGCUUAACACAUGCAAGUCGAACGGAAAGGCCCUGCUUUUGUGGGGUGCUCGAGUGGCGAACGGGUGAGUAACACGUGAGUAACCUGCCCUUGACUUUGGGAUAACUUCAGGAAACUGGGGCUAAUACCGGAUAGGAGCUCCUGCUGCAUGGGGGGGGUUGGAAAGUUUCGGCGGUUGGGGAUGGACUCGCGGCUUAUCAGCUUGUUGGUGGGGUAGUGACUUACCAAGGCUUUGACGGGUAGCCGGCCUGAGAGGGUGACCGGCCACAUUGGGACUGAGAUACGGCCCAGACUCCUACGGGAGGCAGCAGUGGGGAAUAUUGCACAAUGGGCGGAAGCCUGAUGCAGCAACGCCGCGUGCGGGAUGACGGCCUUCGGGUUGUAAACCGCUUUCGCCUGUGACGAAGCGUGAGUGACGGUAAUGGGUAAAGAAGCACCGGCUAACUACGUG
Molecule: ribosomal RNA, 468 nt
Filed under: uncultured bacterium
Lineage: Bacteria
Description: partial 16S ribosomal RNA
Rfam family: Bacterial small subunit ribosomal RNA
Source: RNAcentral